Molecule: long non-coding RNA, 1366 nt
Filed under: Oreochromis niloticus (Nile tilapia)
Lineage: Eukaryota; Metazoa; Chordata; Actinopteri; Cichliformes; Cichlidae
Description: lncRNA (ENSONIG00000038473.1)
Source: RNAcentral
GUGGCUUUGGAAAGCUCAGCUUCCUCUUAUUGUUCAUCUGAAGCUGAGCGACAUCGCUUCUUGUGAUAUUUUCUAAUAAUUCCACCUUUUCCCUCUGGUCCACAGCCGAAGCAGAUCGGAGAUGAUUUCUGCGGUUUGGUACUGAACCAGCCACUCGGAGGCCUGAGGGUGAUCGAGGGACAGCCGCUGUACGAGGACCGGACUGAGGGCAUGGGCGCCGUGGCCGCAUACACCUACGGGGAGCACACGGUGGUGUUCGUGGGAACCCGGAGUGGACAGCUCAAGAAGGGUUUUUAUUCUCAGGCAGGAGAGAUAAACAGCACGGAGACAGGAAGCAGGACUGAUGCAGGAUUAAAGCAAAUGUGAGCAGUGACAGUUCAGGACGGGGCCGGUGUCUCCGCACAGAUGCUCUCAGCCUUGUUGAAGUUGUAAAGUUGUCUCAGCGGUGUCGGACAACCUCACAGAAAGCUGCAGAGACGCUCAGACUGUCUGCUGCUGUCAGAAAAAUGCCCCACUUAGCUGCACAAGAUGUCUGUUUUCUGUCUCCUUCAGGGCUCGGCAGUCGGUUAAAGACUCGCCGUUUCCCACAGCACAAACUCUGUCCUCUCUGGAGGAUUUAAGACUUUGCUGAGCGGCAGAAAGCUUCCCUACACUCUUUGGGUAAAACUAACAACCUAAACCAAGUGAAAAGGACAGAACAGACGUGUAAAGUGGACCGUAAGCUUGACUGCGCUCUGACAUUGACUCCAGUGCAAAAUUUCAUCCAGUAAAGCACAAGUAGAAUUUACAAGUCUCAGACUGUCUGAGAGUCAAACGAGUGCGUCUGGCAAGGAGCACCUUCGCAAAAACAAAUAAAGGAUUAUCUUAGAAAAGGAAAAAAGGAAAAGAUGUUCAAAAACACGAAGUUCUUUGGAGAUGUUAAAGAUGAUGUUCUAGAAGUUUGUUAUGAGCAAGAACCUACGAGAGCCCAAGUUCUCCAGGUUCUUUUUAGGGUGUUAAAAUAUUUCUAGGCAUCUUUUAAGAUACCUUUAGGACCUUUAUUCUUUUAGGACUUUGAGAUGGUUAAACAUGUAUCAAAUCAUCUGUGAAAUAAUCCAUCCUACAAAGAAAUAUCUUACUAGUUGUUUAACGACCUGUGUGCAUUCGACCAGUUAAAGCCACCACAAUACAGUCUCUAAAAGCUUUCGUUGGUUACUGGGAAAUUUAUUUUCCUUUUUCCUUUAAGAGGUCCUCCUAAAAUUCUCAGGAGCCAGGACCUCCAAGGAUACCCUGGUAAUCCUGGUAAUCAGUCUGGAUGCUCUAGAGAUUGUUUUUGGGACCUGGGAAGAGCAGAAAACUUAAGUUCUUUAGGUUCCUAUUGUUGAUA